UGCGGAGGGAUCAUUACACAAAUAUGAAGGCGGGCUGGAACCUCUCGGGGUUACAGCCUUGCUGAAUUAUUCACCCUUGUCUUUUGCGUACUUCUUGUUUCCUUGGUGGGUUCGCCCACCACUAGGACAAACAUAAACCUUUUGUAAUUGCAAUCAGCGUCAGUAACAAAUUAAUAAUUACAACUUUCAACAACGGAUCUCUUGGUUCUGGCAUCGAUGAAGAACGCAGCGAAAUGCGAUAAGUAGUGUGAAUUGCAGAAUUCAGUGAAUCAUCGAAUCUUUGAACGCACAUUGCGCCCUUUGGUAUUCCAAAGGGCAUGCCUGUUCGAGCGUCAUUUGUACCCUCAAGCUUUGCUUGGUGUUGGGCGUCUUGUCUCUAGCUUUGCUGGAGACUCGCCUUAAAGUAAUUGGCAGCCGGCCUACUGGUUUCGGAGCGCAGCACAAGUCGCACUCUCUAUCAGCAAAGGUCUAGCAUCCAUUAAGCCUUUUUUCAACUUUUGACCUCGGAUCAGGUAGGGAUACCCGCUGAACUUAAGCAUAUCAAUAAGCGGAGGAA
Molecule: ribosomal RNA, 556 nt
Filed under: uncultured Pleosporaceae
Lineage: Eukaryota; Fungi; Ascomycota; Dothideomycetes; Pleosporales; Pleosporaceae
Description: eukaryotic LSU rRNA
Rfam family: 5.8S ribosomal RNA (bases 182-335)
Source: RNAcentral